This 574-nucleotide long non-coding RNA is filed under the name Phascolarctos cinereus (koala). Its description in RNAcentral is "lncRNA (ENSPCIG00000009958.2)". The record is from RNAcentral. Lineage: Eukaryota; Metazoa; Chordata; Mammalia; Diprotodontia; Phascolarctidae.
GAAUCUGGUGGCAGAGUGAUGGGGGAGGAGGAGCUGUCAGAGAUGACCAGCCUGGUGGUUGGUGGCCCAGACACCCGCUCUGUGGGGCACAUCCCAAGGAGGUCUCAGCCAGCCCCUUGCAGAUCUGCUGCCUGUUCAGGCCAUUGGAUCUCAUCCUCCUUCUCUGAACCUUUGGUUGUGCUCUCUCUCUGGCAUCAGUGCCUCACCCCUGUAAAUCCCUGCAGGCCAUGCUCCUGCCCUGGGAUCCUUCUCCCUCCCCACCUCAGUGUGCAGAAGACCAAGGCCUGAACAAGCAGGGAGGCUGGAGCCAGAGGGAAUGGCCCCUGGGAGCUGCAGAUCCCCAGCCAAGGUGAGUGCACCCUGCCCUCAGACUUGACCCACAUCAGCCAAACAGGGCAUUUCCAGAGAAAAAGAGGAUUGUCUAGGAGGCUGGCCAUCCCCUACUUAUGGAUUAUUUCUUUACAAAAAUAGGCAGGGAAUUGAAAACAGUAGUAACAACACUGGCCUGCUCUUUCCUGUGUUUUGAACUAAUUCUCAGCAUUUUGGCAUCACAAGCAGGAACUACUCCCUUCCC